GCCCACGUAGCUCAGUGGAUUAGAGCAAACGCCUUCUAAGCGUUUGGUCAGGAGUUCGAUUCUCUUCGUGGGCGCCA
This 77-nucleotide transfer RNA is filed under the name Mycoplasmataceae bacterium RV_VA103A. RNAcentral's name for it is "tRNA-Arg". It matches the Rfam family "tRNA". Rfam says of the family: Transfer RNA (tRNA) molecules are approximately 80 nucleotides in length. The record is from RNAcentral. Lineage: Bacteria; Bacillati; Mycoplasmatota; Mollicutes; Mycoplasmatales; Mycoplasmataceae. RNAcentral also lists the same sequence under 1 other name.